AUGGAGAGUUUGAUCCUGGCUCAGGAUGAACGCUGGCGGCGUGCCUAAUACAUGCAAGUCGAGCGAACAGACGAGGAGCUUGCUCCUUUGACGUUAGCGGCGGACGGGUGAGUAACACGUGGGUAACCUACCUAUAAGACUGGGAUAACUUCGGGAAACCGGAGCUAAUACCGGAUAAUAUUUCGAACCGCAUGGUUCGAUAGUGAAAGAUGGCUCUGCUAUCACUUAUAGAUGGACCUGCGCCGUAUUAGCUAGUUGGUAAGGUAACGGCUUACCAAGGCAACGAUACGUAGCCGACCUGAGAGGGUGAUCGGCCACACUGGAACUGAGACACGGCCCAGACUCCUACGGGAGGCAGCAGUAGGGAAUCUUCCGCAAUGGGCGAAAGCCUGACGGAGCAACGCCGCGUGAGUGAUGAAGGUCUUCGGAUCGUAAAACUCUGUUAUUAGGGAAGAACAAAUGU
This 463-nucleotide ribosomal RNA is filed under the name Chrysotila carterae. RNAcentral describes it as "partial Bacterial small subunit ribosomal RNA". It matches the Rfam family "Bacterial small subunit ribosomal RNA", at positions 1 to 456 of the family's 1533-position model. The record is from RNAcentral. Lineage: Eukaryota; Haptophyta; Isochrysidales; Isochrysidaceae.